ACAUCAGUGCUUCUCACGCCAAAACAAUCACUAACUUCAGACUGAGAAUGUAACAAAAAGGAAACAUAAAUCAACUUCUCUGUCAAUCCCAUUAUCUUGAAUUUUAUAGCCCACCACAACCCUCUUGUCCCCUUCUCUUCACCUCCCAAGAUUCUCUGUUUUUUCUUUUCUUUUUAUAGCGCCAGGAGUUGAAUAUAGACCAUACACUGAUACAAAUGCAUGUAGUGCGUGUCUAUAUAUCUGAACUUCAAUCUUGAUUCUGUUUCUUGGGUCUCUUUUUUCCUUUUCUUUUCUAUUUUGUUGGAAAGAUAGAGAUGGGGUUGAAAAGUGCUUGGUUAGUGGUGGUGUUUUUGUUUCUUGGGGUUGCUGUGGCAAAGAAUGUGAAUGGGUUGAAUGUAUGGCCAAUGCCGAAGUGGGUGAGUAGAGGGCACAGGAGGGUUUACAUGAGUCAAGAUUUUGAGCUGGUUACUGAUGGGAGCAAGUACAUUGAUGGCUCUGAGAUUUUGAAGGAUGGCUUUACAAGAAUGCUUGAUGUAGUGAAAGUUGCUCAUGUUGUUGAUGGUGAUCUUUCUAGCGUAGACAAGUCUCUCAUCAUUAAAGGAAUUCAUGUUCUUAUUUUCUCACCAGAUGACCAGGUAUGGAGUCAUUGGUUAUCAAUUAUCUUUCCAGUCAGAGCCUUUUCUUUUCUUUUCUGAUUAUUACCUGAUCAGUUCAUUCACACGGGCCUAAAGAUUAAUGUUUAAAAGUCUGGGAAUGUGAUUCUUCUGAGCUAGGCUAAGAAGAAGUCAUUUUCUCCUUUUUCUUUCCACUUGUAUAAAAUUUUCAUUAUCACCGCUGACAACUUUUUUAAAAAAGUUGUUUUUUUUUCCCGAUCUUGAAAUACAAAGUGAUGUGCAAUUUGAUAAUCCUUUUGUUUUAACUUAUUUUUCACUAAAUACAGCAAUUAUUAGGAAGUAAUCAAGUAUGAGCUGUAGCUAUCAUUAAGUUUUAUUUAAACAACAAUCAAGGCUUUUUUUUUUUGGCAUUUUAGAUGAAAUCUGGAGAGCUCCUUCCUUUAAUUUAGAUUAAACAAAUGCUCCUUCUUCCUGUAUUGUGGUGUGCUUUUACAGUUACAAUAUGGUGUUGCCGAGUCAUACAAACUGCUGGUUCCUUCACCAGAGAUGCCAGAUUACGUCCAUCUUGAGGUGGGUGCGCAACCACUACCUUUUAUCUUUUUAGCAAUUUUGUUUAACAACUUACACCUGCCCAACUCAAUUGUAAUAAGUAUCUUUCUCAAGGAAGAUGUUCAAAUAGUAAAACUUGAAAGAAAAUGCUGCUGGAUUUUGUCUGACAUUUCCUAAAAUAGUUUUCAUAUAUUUAUGUUGAAAUGUAGCUUUGACAUAUUUGGAUGUGCCAUAUAGCCAUCGCAUUGACAAAUGUUUCCAGUCUCAAUGUUUUGGACGAGGGGAAGGAGUCUCAAAGGAAUUAUUCGAUGUCCUAUCUAGAUUAGUGAACUUAAACCUAGUAUUUGCUUACGAGACGGGUCAAUCAUGCAUUGUAGAGAACCAAUAACAUUAAAUCAUGUUUUAUAAAAUCUUCCACUAUGAUGAUUAUAAUCAAUGAUGGAGUGGGACCUUGCUGAAGCAUGGUUGUUUUUUUCAUAAUUUUUGAACUCAUGUUCUGUCGAGGCACCAAAUUGAUACAUUUAAUGGUCAAUGCUGAAUUUGGUCUACAUCAGUAAGCUUUGAUUCAUGUAAAUUGUUUGAUCAAUUCAAAUUCUGUUUGGCAACAUUACAGGCGCAGACUGUUUAUGGGGCGUUACAUGGGCUUCAGGUUUUAUACUAAUCCUUAAGACAUGAAAUUGUAACUCUUUUGAUAUUCCUACCAAGUUCAAAAUUGUCUAAGUUUGCAUGACAAUAAAUUUUGUAGACAUUCAGCCAAUUGUGUCAUUUUAACGUUACAAGUAGACUGAUUGAAGUUCACAUGGUCCCGUGGACUAUCAUUGAUCAACCAAGAUUCUCUUAUCGAGGGCUCUUGAUUGGUGAGUUGUUUUCUGCAGUCCUUUUCUGUAAUAUGUUUAGUUUACUUUUGAUGUAUAUGUUUUUCAAAGCCCCUGCUGAGGGCUUUAUUCCAUGUACUAGCUUCUGGUUUGAUAAGGUUGGCAAUUACCACUGAAGGUUUUGAUGGGAAGAAAGUUUACUUCUUGUGAAAUGGGUCUGGAGGGCUAUCCCAAGCUGACAUUGGGCCACUUGAAAAGCUUGAUGUCCAAUUGUUUGGUCGAUUCUGUUUUUAUAUCUCAAAUCCACUCUGUAUUUUCAAAUUCUAAUGUGCUUGUCUGACUUACAAGUGGAAUUUGUGCAGAUACAUCAAGACACUAUCAGCCAGUGCCAAUGAUUAAGAAAGUAAUUGAUUCCAUGGCCUAUGCAAAAUUGGUAUGUGAUGCAUAGUUAACUAAUCUAUAGUUGAGAAUCUUUUAGAAUAUUAGGUGAAAUAAAUACAUAUUUGUUCUAAUGUUUGCUGGAAAAUAAUCAGUUGUAUUUUGCUUUUAGCAUUAAAGGUAUAAGAGGUUUUCAUGAUCGCAUUUGUUGAGGAGUAUCAUCCCUAUUUCUGUUCAUAACCAUUUGCUAGGAUUUAGUUUGCCUGAAUUAGCUUCUUCCUCUAUAGGGACAGCAAUGAAGUUUGGGAAAUCUUGCAUCCAUAAAAAGGAUAGGAAAUAGUAAUUUGCGCAGCAGUGUUUAAGCCUUGGAUCUUGCACCAGGAAACCUAUCCAACAUGAAAUGAGACAGAAAUUUGGCAACUGUCGCUUAAAUCCUUUUUGAACAGAAAAUGGUGUUAACACAACAAUUUACUGUAAUUAGCAGUUUGCUGAUACGGUUUACUUUGUAACAAGCUGUAAUGUUGUUUCACACUGACCUUAUGUUGAUUUUUAUCAUCUAGCCUGUUGUAAGAACUCAGAUAGCUGUGGUAUUAAUCAUCUAGCCUGUUGUAAGACUCAGAUAGCUGUGGUAUUAACAGAAUUAGUCGGUGAGAAGUGGAUUUUCCUUGCAGAAGGUGUUAGCAGGUCAAUAAAACUAUUGAAAAACAAUACCAGUCAUUGGCCUUUAUGAUUUUUUUCUGUUGCAAAUGCAGAAUGUGUUGCACUGGCACAUUGUAGAUACCCAAUCUUUCCCUUUGGAGAUACCUUCAUAUCCACAUCUGUGGGAUGGGGCUUAUUCAGUUUCAGAGCGGUACACUUUUUCUGAUGCUGCUGAAAUUGUGAGGCAAGUGAUUCUGCUGUCUUCACCUUCUACAAACUUAUUGUCUAUGUAGUUUUAUCAUCUCUAAUAUGUCAAGAAAAAAAUUUGCAGUUAUGCUCAAAGGAGAGGAAUUAAUGUAUUAGCUGAACUUGAUGUUCCUGGACAUGCUCUCUCAUGGUAAUAGUAACAUCCUCGUAUGGUGGUUUUCUCUGUUGUCUCAGUUAUAUUCCUUUCAAAAAUUACUGUGCAUGUAUCUAUGAGAUCAGGAUGCAAACUUUUAACCCCAAAAAUUGACACUUGUUCAUUUAAAAAAAGAAUCUUAUCCUCUUCAAGUGAAUAAUGGCAGGAUUUGAAUUUCUGAUCAUUCAUGGCUUCUGCAAUAGCUACAGAAAAAUUCCCAGGAAAAGACUUUAUAGAUCAUGACUGGCUGAUGUAAUGACUGCCAUGUCUUUCCAGGUGUUGGGGGGAAUAUUUAUACAGCUUUCUAAUUUAGUUUUUGCAAGAUGCUAGAUAACAACAAUCUAUAUUUCUUAACGGAUAGAAUUUAAGAAUUCAUCGGAAUUAUCACAGAAUUAGGUAAUGUUCAAUCCACGAGGAUGUGUAGAACAUUUUUUCAUAGAAGCUGCCAUUGGUCACUUGACUUGAUGAUGAUGUGUCUUUCUGUUGACCUGUAUGAUUUACCUAUUAGAUGUUCUUCCUCGCAAACAAUAGAGUUGGGUACUUAUUGUCAAUGUAUAUGGAAAGAAUAUCAACAAUAUAUGGCAACCAAAUUGUAACAGAAUAUCUUGUAUUUAUUGUAUUUAUUAUAGACUACAAAUCAGGGAUUAUAGACUACAAAUUAGGGAUUAUUACAUGUAUUUAUAGGACUCAAUUCUUCCUUUCAGAAUCAAUGAAAAUACAGAGAACUUUACAUUGAAAUCUGAUAAUUGUGACAUGGUAUCAGAGCCGGUUAUUCUCUAAUCUAGAUCUUUUGUUCUUUUCUUAAGUCUAUAGACUGAAUUCAUCAGUAUUUGGUGAUAUUUUUUUUGAGAUUCCUAGGAUGUCUGGAGAGGCUUUUCUUACUCGAUUCAAUGGCAAAAACUAUGCUAGUUGGGAGUUUCAGUUUCGUAUGUUUGUUAAAGGGAAGGAAUUAUGGGGGCAUCUUGAUGGAUCUUCACCAGCACGUGACACUUAUAACACCCUGCCAACUUGUAUCCAAUAAAACUGCUUGUUCUCAAAAGUUUUGAGGUUAUAAAGAUGUUAUUUUAUGAGUAAUGCUGGCAAACCAAAAGGUUGUUUGUAGCUCAUGGAUCUAUUGCAGUUAGCCUCAGUGAACUUUCUGCAGAAGUGAUGAAUGCUAAUGGUUUUCAGGGCCAAACAUGAGAAGGAUUAAGGGCUAUUGUUUAGUGAUAUCUGGUGAAAGUCUAGGUUGGUGACCAAGGCAUUGUAGAUACGAGGCCUGGGGGUAGCCAUUUGAUGCAAAAUGCUGCAGCGCUGAACCAUUUUCAGAGUUCCUUUCCUAGGAUUGUACUUCUAUGGGACCACAAAUGGGCAAGCCUUUAUGGCUAACUCAGACUUCGGUGCAUAGUUUAGAUUGUCAUGAAUUUGUGACUUUGUAUUUUAAAAACCUAUGGCAAGGCGGGUUCUGUAGGUUUCCCUUGUUGCCAAAAGAUGCAAACUCACAAAAACAAUAAAAAUAUUUGACGUUUUCCAUUUCUUGCAAUAUGGCCAUUAUGAUAGAAUGGUAUCACAAACUAUGAUCUCCAAAUGACUUAAAUGGAUAUUUUUCCCCUGUAAUUAGGGGGCAUGGCUAUCCUUCUCUAUGGCCAUCAAAAGACUGUCAGCAGCCACUUGAUGUCAGCAAUGAAUUUACAUUCAAAGUGAUAGAUGGGAUUCUUUCAGGUAAUGCCUGCACUUUCAAUUUAGAACAGUGUGGUUUGAUAUCAAUAAGUUGUCAUGUCAGAAGACUAAGAAAAUAUAUGUAAAUUUGCAAGUUAGCUUAAUUUGGGUGAAAAACAAAAAUGAAAGGAUGAAUGGUUAACAUUAUUACUUUUUUCACGUUCAGAUUUCAGUAAGAUCUUUAAAUUCAAGUUUGUUCACUUGGGAGGUGAUGAAGUUGACCCAAGUAAGUUCAAUAGUUACAUUUUGCUAUCACCAUUUUUGUAUUGAUUGUUUAUUGUUUAUGGAGCAUUUUUUUUUUAUUAUUAUUAUUUUGUUUCUUGGCCUCUGGGGAUUUUCUUUCCUUUUAUCAUAUCUUUUCUUCUUUUAUUUUUGGGUGUAUGUGUUGAAACAUGGUAUUUGAUGUUAAUGAAAAUAUAGGGGCCACAGGUUAUUUGCUUCCGUUUGCUCUUAAUUUUUGAAAUAUACAUCUAUGGAGCUUCACAUUAUUGACAAGCAACUGUAUGAGUCUUUUUCAGGUUGCUGGACAACAACUCCCCACAUAAUAAAAUGGUAACAAUCCCACGAAUUCUACAUGCAAAGUAACUGAUGUUUCUUUUCUUUUCUUUUUUUUCUGUAGACACCGAGUAUAUCACAUUAUUAUCUUCAUGCUUGAUGUCCACAACCAUAUUUUCCUCGUUUUGUAGUUAAUACAUGUGGAUUUACGUGGGUACUGUGUGUUUGCUGUACAUGACAUCACUGUUACAUUAUUUUAUGAUUACUGCUAUUAUUGGAUUUCCUGAGAAAUAACUAGCAUGUCAGACUCACAGCUAUUUCUUUUAGUUUUUGUUUUUCUCCCAUUCGAUGUACCUUAAAAGAGCAUGCAAUUGUAACAAAAGAGAGAGGGCAUGUAAAUUGUAUUCGUAUUGUAUGUUGUUUGACCUUGACGUGAUCACGAUACUGUCUAUUCUGAAACCUGCAGGUUAAAAGAGCAUAGAAUGAAUGGAUCUCAAGCUUAUCAGUACUUUGUCUUGCGGGCACAGAAAAUAGCUUUGUCCCAUGGAUUUGAAAUUGUUAACUGGUACGAACAAUUCUGGAUAAGGUUAGAUAUCAAAUUUCACUGGUUUUAUAUCUUAUCCAAUCGUGCAAUGAAACAGGGAGGAGACCUUCAAUGACUUUGGAAAUAAAUUGAGCCGGAAGACUGUGGUGCACAAUUGGUAUGCCAUACUUUCUGCAUAAUUUCAUAAAAUGACCUUGUCAUGAUGCAUCUUAACAUGGCCACCCUGUAGAUCAGUAAAUGAACAAAUAUAAGCAUCAUUUAUCCAUGAUGCAACCGUCUAUUUGCUUGUUGGACUUGUAGUAUUGAGAGACUAGAAUCAAGAUUAUAUAAAAAAUGGGAAAAGCUCCCCUGUGCAGAAUAUGAAUUUUGGUUAAUCGAUACAGCUAAACUUGACUUGAUAAGGGUGUUAAGAUGUUUUAGUCCAUCUGCAAUGCUAAUUGUGACAAGUAAUUUUUAUAUGCUAGAAAAAGUCAAAUGUAGUAGUUGGUAAAGAGUGUCGUUCUCGCUACUAUUAAUUCUCACUACUUAAAUAUUUGCUAGUUCUGAAGAGUGACAUCUGGUUCACCUGGUCCAAGUCCAUUAAUGUUUAGAUGAAAACUUCAGGAACUCUUUCUCUUUGUGAAUUCACAUAUUGUAAUCACAAUUAAAAUUACUGUAGAUAUUAGACAAUCAGUGAACAUUGUUGAGUUAAUUACACCAAGCAAAUAGAUCUUAGAGAUGAUUGUAUUUGCACUGCCAUAAUAAUUUUGUUUGUCCUUGUAUUUCGGGCACACUUGAUCUUUAGCAUACAAUUUUCUUUGCAGGCUUGGAGGUGGAGUUGCUGAGCAAGUGGUUGCAUCUGGGUUGAGGUGCAUUGUGAGCAACCAGGACAAAUGGUAUCUAGAUCACUUGGAUACUCGUUGGGAAGAGUUCUAUAAGAAUGAACCACUUACAAAUAUAACAAACCCCGAGCAACAGAGUUUAGUUCUUGGGGGGGAAGUAUGCAUGUGGGGAGAAACGGUGGAUGCGUCAAACAUUGAACAAACCAUAUGGCCACGUGCUGCAGCUGCUGCAGGUAUUUAUUGUAUAUCAUGUCAAUUGACAACGAAAUUGCUGAGACGUUGCAACAUAUUCAUAUUAAGUUAUCCAGUUUUCUUGUUUUCAAUACCAUGUAGUUGAUGGUCAUUGAAAAGGAUUGUGCAGUGACACAAACAAUAUUAUAAAUCUGAUUUCAUAUUAGCUUCCUAGUCACAUAAAUUGGUCACAAUCUUGGUGAAUUUACUACUGUUGAUCUUAAGGGUUCAUGAAACUAUACGCUUUGUGGAUGCUUCUGUGUAUUAAGAGAUCUGCCUUUCCAUCCCAAAGGUGGUUUUAGUUGAUACAUGGUUAUCACUGCUAACAUUCAUGGACCAAGGCAGGUGACUGGUAGUCUCAUUUGAAGAGGCACCAGAUGAUGCCUUGAGUGAUUUUUAGAGUUGACUAGUUUUGAUCUUUUUUAGAAUCCUCUUAAAGGUACUUCUUGAGAAACUUUUCCAUCAUUAUAGGAGAGAUAAAAACUUUAACUAUACAUCUUUCUUCCCUCUGUUUUUAAGCCCAGCAUGUCAAAUCUUCCAUUUUUUUGUUUCUGCUCUCUACUCAGCUUAAUCUUUCAUGCAAACUGUAUCUUCACUUCAAAAUAAUGAUUUUAUUCUCUCUGUUUUCUGUUCCUAUGUGAUUGAAGAGCGGCUAUGGACACCUUAUGACAAGCUAGCGAAGGAUCCAGAAAAAGUUGCUGGAAGGUUAGCGCACUUCAGGUGUUUGUUGAAUCAAAGAGGGGUUGCCGCAGCUCCUUUAGCUGGACCAGGCCGAGGAGCACCUAUAGAACCAGGUUCUUGUAAUGCACAGUAAUGAGUACAAACACAUCUCUAAUUCUUGAGGGUGAAAUGCAGUUGAUUCAAAAUCACCCCCGGAUGUAAGGAACACGUAAUAAUGCAUCCUGGAUAUAUUCAGGUGGCUUCUGGUUCGAUUUUUAUGAAAAUAGUCCAAAAUGGUCGCACAAGUUCUGCCCAACUAAGUCCCUUCGUUCUUGAAGUGUUUGUGGUUGAAUCGUAAAGGAGACUUGCAAGGGAUUUCGAGUGUUUAUGGUGAAGUUUUUUCUUUUCUUUUUUUCCUUUGGAUCUUAUGAUAUCUGACCCCAAAAAUCAUUAAUUUGAACAGUUGAAAUUUACCUUGAAAGAUUAGUUCAUAACUUACUCAAGGAUUGCGCUUGGAAUUUGUUUAAGAAAAAUAAAUAAAAAUCAAAUUUUAAUUAUUGAUUUUUACUCAGAUUUCAUUAAUGGAAGAAUUAUGAAAGGAGAAACUCGAAGCAUUUUUUUAUCAUAUUUUAACCGACAAUAUACCUUCAAGGUAUCUUGUCGAAAGUAAUUUAUGAAUUUUGGGAAUAAAUAAAGCAGCUUCAUACUCAAGGAAAAUAAGCUAUAUUCCCAAGGAAAAUCUCCCUCAAGUGGUUUCUUGGGUUUGAAGAACAGAGUUGAACUUAAAUCUUAUACUGGCAAGGAUUGAGAAUCUCCAAUGAACCCCGGAAAACUAUAAACUGUCCAAUGCAUUUGACACCCGACAAUUCCUGGACUAAUAAAAACUUUCCCAGUUUACCCGAAUUUCCAAAGAACACUAAAUCGUUUAGCCACCGAACAAAUUAAAGACCGUGACGGACCAAUCUUUUUAGUGAACAUAGAUUGAUUACAUGUCUUUCAAAUACUUAAUUUCCAUUUACUUAAUCUUUUUACUUAAUACAUGUAUAAUUAUGUUUUCAAACGCUCACUAAAUAUUAACGGAGAAGAUUGAAUUUUGAACUUCAAGAAUAAGAAUAGCAGGGAAAUCUACAAUUUAUAUUAGGAUUUUGCCUCCUAAAUGACACGAUAUUUAUUGCAAAGAUUUUUUUCUUCAAAUGGUGUCAUGUGAAUCUCAGCACAUUUAAUGUCAUAGCUAUAAUCAUCUAAUAAAAUGAUUUUUUUUUUUAAAAAUAGACAAGCAUGUUAUUUUUUAAAAAAUUAUUAUCUAAUCACCACUGUUUUAUAAAUAAAAAACAGUGAUAAUUAUUUUUCAAAGUAUUUUAAUUUUUAAAAUACAUUAAAAUAUUUUUUUAUUUUUUAAAAUUUAUUUUUGACACUAGCAUAUUAAAAUGAUAAAAAAAUCAUGUAAAAAAAUAUUUUUUUAAAAAAAUAACAUUUUUACAACAAAAACAAUCAAGGUAGAAGUAGAAAAAGUUAGAAAAAAAUGAUUUUUCUAAGAGUUCAUUUGUUUUUACAUUUUAAAAAUGUUUUUGAAAAUAAUUUUUUUUUUACUUCAAAUUAAUAUAUCUUAAUAUUUUUCAUAUCAUAUUGAUGUGUUAAUACUAAAAAUAAAAAAAAUUAUUCAAUAUAUUUCAAAGUAAAUAACACUAUAAAAAAACAACCACUACUACAAUACUUAAAAAUCAUGCUUUUUAAAGUGAUUGGGAGUUUUAUUGCCGUUACUUUUUAAAGUGCUUUUUAUUUAGAAAAGCAUGCUAAAAAUAUUUUUUUAUAUUUUAAAAAUUAUUUUUAAGAUUAACACAUCAAAAAAAUUUAAAAACAUAAAAAAACAUAUUAAUUUUAAAAAACAAAUUUAAAUUUUUUAAAAAACACUUUUCACCAACAAUGCGAAACACCCUCUAAUCCACUUUUAAGUUUGCAUGUCGACCAGAAUGAAAAUUUAAAAUCAUAUAGUUACUAUAAAAUUCAAAACGCUGUAUUUUCUUUUGCACCCACGUAUAAAAAGUAGCGGCAAGUAUGAGAAGGAAGGAGGAAUUGAGUUCAAAACUCACCUCUUUUUAGAGUUCAAAACACAUGCUAAAGACCUAUGAAUAUGUCACUGUACAUUCACAGGCAUUCAUUAUUCACCAAACAAUGGAUACCUUCCGUUACUGCUUGGACCAGAUUAGAUUUUGGAUUUACAAUUAUAAUCUUCUUAAGACAACAACAGGAGAGGAUGGCAGAGAGAAUAAAGAAAGAAGGAAAGCCCACCUCACAAUCUCACAUCAGUGCUUCUCACGCCAAAACAAUCACUAACUUCAGACCGAGAAUGUAUCAAAAAGGAAACAUAAAACAACUUCUCUGUCAAUCCCAUUAUCUUGAAUUUUAUAGCCCACCACAACCCUCUUGUUCCCUUUUCUUCACCUCCCAAGGUUCUCUGUUUUUUCUUAUCCUUUUAUAGCGCCAGGAGUUGAAUAUAGACCAUACACUGAUACAAAUGCAUGUAGUGUGUGUCUAUAUAUCUGAACUUCAAUCUUGAUUCUGUUUCUUGGGUCUCUUUUCUUUCCUUUUCUUUUUAUCUUGUUGGAAAGAUAGAGAUGGGGUUGAGAAGUGCUUGGUUAGUGGUGGUGUUUUUGUUUAUUGGGGUUGCUGUGGCAAAGAAUGUGAAUGGGUUGAAUGUAUGGCCAAUGCCGAAGCGGGUG
This 10564-nucleotide long non-coding RNA is filed under the name Populus tremula. RNAcentral describes it as "long non-coding RNA (PTRE_LNC002748)". The record is from RNAcentral. Lineage: Eukaryota; Viridiplantae; Streptophyta; Magnoliopsida; Malpighiales; Salicaceae.